UUCUUUAGGAUGAUGGCAGGCAACAGCUGUGGUAAAGGUAGGAGUCAGAGUUAAGUCUGAACUGGCUAUGUGUGAGCGCUCGACCUCCAGCGGACGCUCUGCUAAUGCGUCAAACCAUGCCUGACCGUGCACCGUGAGUACAAUAGGAAGCUUGUGAAGAACGUUCCUGCAAUAAUACCUGCUCUGCUAUGGAUCACUUGAGGGCCCUCAGGCAAGCCUUGUGAGGGAAGGUGGCUCUGAAGCCCCUUCCCUACAGGGUGGACAGGCUGCCAGACAGACAACAGGGCGGGUCUGCUGUUUUGGGUGAGAAGGCCAAGGAUCAGCAAGGCUGAACAGCAGAGAACAGAUGAUGAUGCUCUAAACCAAUGGGUCUCAACCUUCCUAAUGCUCCAGCCCUGCCCUUUAAUGUUGUGGUGAUCGCCAAUCAUAAAAUUAUUUCUGUUACUAUUCAUAACUGUAAUUUUGCCACGGUUAUGAAUAAUAAUGCAAAUAUCUACUAUGUAACCCCCAUAAAAGGGUCCUUUGACCCACAGGUUGAGAACCACUCCACUGUCCCUGUAUUUGUCUUCCACCUCAUCUCUUCAGCCUCCUGUGUGUAAAAUGCAGCUCGUUCUUCCGCUUAAGGGUUCUUUGAAGAUUCAAUGAAAGACUCUGCAAAGGUCAUGGAAAAAUCCAGAGGUGCUGCCCUGGGUCCUCUAAGGAGCCAUUCUGAAUAUGAGUGUCUGCUUUCUUCAAAGCUUACCAGUUAGAGGCCCUGCAGGGACCAACAACCCAGCUGUGAUUCGCUUGUGACUGAUGUUUGCAGAGCCACGUGUGCACCACCUGACAAGGGUGAAGGGGCGGAGCACAGACACUACAGAAGAUGGGGCUGGAUUCUUAAAUAUCCAUUUUUAUGGCGAGGAUUAGUGAAGCGCCAUGAAAUCGAUGUUGUCUAUGAACUCACAGCACAGUGGAGAUUUUUGGUUUCUUUGGAGACUCAGUUGCGUCUUAUGAAAGGAUGUUUUGCUGAGAACAGACGUGUUUUUCGGGCAUGUGAAGUUUUGCUAGCAGAUGCUUGGGAAGGCACAUGGUGUUUGGGAAGACUAGAGAAACGCACCAAAGAACUUCUGGAGGUGUCCUGGACUCUUCUUGCUGCUUCAGAGGACUUGUGCUGAUUGGCAGAAGUUCCUGGUUUACUUCUGGAUCAAGCUGCUGCUGCUGCUGCUGCUGCAAGUGGACUGGACUGCUGACAAUGAAGAUUGGACUCACCCCCAAAGAGCUACUUCUAAACAGGUCCACCUUCCUUGUCCUGUCAACCGCCUUCUCCCCUACCUUUGGUCGGUGAGCUAUAAGGGAGGGGGAAGUAUUUAAGAAACAUUAUUGAAGUAGGUUUGAAAAAUAUAAGCCUAUAUCACAG
Long non-coding RNA from Mus musculus (house mouse), 1396 nucleotides. RefSeq annotates it as RIKEN cDNA C330024C12 gene. The transcript has 4 exons. The record is from RefSeq and is marked validated. NCBI's taxonomy places the organism in Eukaryota, Metazoa, Chordata, Mammalia, Rodentia, Muridae.